RNAcentral lists this transfer RNA (89 nucleotides) under Nocardia sp. alder85J. Its description in RNAcentral is "tRNA-Ser". It matches the Rfam family "tRNA". Rfam says of the family: Transfer RNA (tRNA) molecules are approximately 80 nucleotides in length. The record is from RNAcentral. Lineage: Bacteria; Bacillati; Actinomycetota; Actinomycetes; Mycobacteriales; Nocardiaceae.
GGAGGGUUGGCCGAGUCUGGUAAGGCAGCGGUGUGCUAAACCGUGGUCGGGCCGAAACGCCCGCGCGAGUUCGAAUCUCGCCCCCUCCG